This 231-nucleotide long non-coding RNA is filed under the name Elaeis guineensis (African oil palm). RNAcentral describes it as "long non-coding RNA (EGUI_LNC064122)". The record is from RNAcentral. Lineage: Eukaryota; Viridiplantae; Streptophyta; Magnoliopsida; Arecales; Arecaceae.
UCCCUCCCUUAUCUCCAAGUGGUGCACAUCCCUAGAUCUUAUCCAUAUGGGGUGUCCCAUCCUUUCUAUGAAGAAAAUUCAUGAUGAAAAGUGUGGGGCACCAACUAUUGGUAUCUCCCCCAAUCAUUUAAUUCUUAUAUAGAAAACUUGCUUCAGGGAUCAACUCUUAGUGUCCAAAAUGAGCUUGCUUCGAUUUAGUUAAGCCCUAUCCAAUAAGGAACCCAAAUCAAG